This 487-nucleotide ribosomal RNA is filed under the name uncultured bacterium. RNAcentral's name for it is "bacterial SSU rRNA". It matches the Rfam family "Bacterial small subunit ribosomal RNA", at positions 1 to 507 of the family's 1533-position model. The record is from RNAcentral.
AGUAGUUUGAUCAGUGGCUCGAGGACGACGCUGGCGGCGUGCUUAACACAUGCAAGUCGAACGGUGACGGAGAGCUUGCUCUCCUGAUCAGUGGCGAACGGGUGAGUAACACGUGGGCAACCUGCCCCAGACUUCGGGAUAACGCUUCGAAAGAGGUGCUAAUACCGAAUACGAACCUCCCUGGCAUCUGGGAGGUUGGAAAGUUUUUCGGUCUGGGAUGGGCCCGCGGCCUAUCAGCUUGUUGGUGAGGUAACGGCUCACCCAAGGCGACGACGGGUAGCCGGCCUGAGAGGGCGACCGGCCACACUGGGACUGAGACACGGCCCAGACUCCUACGGGAGGCAGCAGUGGGGAAUAUUGCGCAAUGGCGAAAGCCUGACGCAGCAACGCCGCGUGAGGGAUGACGGCCUUCGGGUUGUAAACCUCUUUCAGCAGGGAAGAAGCGAAAGUGACGGUACCUGCAGAAGAAGCACCGGCUAACUACGUG